RNAcentral lists this unclassified non-coding RNA (405 nucleotides) under soil metagenome. Its description in RNAcentral is "partial contains 5.8S ribosomal RNA, internal transcribed spacer 2, and large subunit ribosomal RNA". The stretch from base 1 to 121 matches the Rfam family "5.8S ribosomal RNA", at positions 35 to 154 of the family's 154-position model. The record is from RNAcentral.
GAUGAAGAACGUAGCGAAAUGCGAUAAGUAAUGUGAAUUGCAGAAUUCAGUGAAUCAUCGAAUCUUUGAACCCACCUUGCGCCCUUUGGCCAUUCCGAAGGGCAUGCCUGUUUGAGUAUCAUGAACACCUCAACUCUUUAUGGUUUUCCAUGAUGAGCUUGGACUUUGGGGGUUUUGCUGGCCUAUGGUCGGCUCCUCUAAAAUAAAUCAGCUUACCAGUGUUUGGUGGGUAUCAUGGGUGUGAUAACUAUCUACGCUUGUGGUUUUUCCGCCAGGUAACCUUCGACAGCGGAGGUUCACUGGAGCUCAUAGAUGUCUCUCCUCAGCGAGGACAGCCCUUUGAAUGUUUGAUCUCAAAUCAGGUAGGACUACCCGCUGAACUUAAGCAUAUCAAUAAGCGGAGGA